RNAcentral lists this ribosomal RNA (906 nucleotides) under Streptomyces sp. RNAcentral describes it as "bacterial SSU rRNA". It matches the Rfam family "Bacterial small subunit ribosomal RNA", at positions 56 to 980 of the family's 1533-position model. The record is from RNAcentral. Lineage: Bacteria; Bacillati; Actinomycetota; Actinomycetes; Kitasatosporales; Streptomycetaceae.
UGCAGUCGACGAUGAACCACUUCGGUGGGGAUUAGUGGCGAACGGGUGAGUAACACGUGGGCAAUCUGCCCUUCACUCUGGGACAAGCCCUGGAAACGGGGUCUAAUACCGGAUAUGAGCCUGGGAGGCAUCUCCUGGGUUGUAAAGCUCCGGCGGUGAAGGAUGAGCCCGCGGCCUAUCAGCUUGUUGGUGAGGUAAUGGCUCACCAAGGCGACGACGGGUAGCCGGCCUGAGAGGGCGACCGGCCACACUGGGACUGAGACACGGCCCAGACUCCUACGGGAGGCAGCAGUGGGGAAUAUUGCACAAUGGGCGAAAGCCUGAUGCAGCGACGCCGCGUGAGGGAUGACGGCCUUCGGGUUGUAAACCUCUUUCAGCAGGGAAGAAGCGAAAGUGACGGUACCUGCAGAAGAAGCGCCGGCUAACUACGUGCCAGCAGCCGCGGUAAUACGUAGGGCGCAAGCGUUGUCCGGAAUUAUUGGGCGUAAAGAGCUCGUAGGCGGCUUGUCACGUCGAUUGUGAAAGCCCGAGGCUUAACCUCGGGUCUGCAGUCGAUACGGGCUAGCUAGAGUGUGGUAGGGGAGAUCGGAAUUCCUGGUGUAGCGGUGAAAUGCGCAGAUAUCAGGAGGAACACCGGUGGCGAAGGCGGAUCUCUGGGCCAUUACUGACGCUGAGGAGCGAAAGCGUGGGGAGCGAACAGGAUUAGAUACCCUGGUAGUCCACGCCGUAAACGGUGGGAACUAGGUGUUGGCGACAUUCCACGUCGUCGGUGCCGCAGCUAACGCAUUAAGUUCCCCGCCUGGGGAGUACGGCCGCAAGGCUAAACUCAAGGAAUUGACGGGGGCCCGCACAAGCGGCGGAGCAUGUGACUUAAUUCGACGCAACGCGAAGAACCCUUACCAAGGC